UGGGGAAUUUUGGACAAUGGGCGAAAGCCUGAUCCAGCAAUGCCGCGUGUGUGAAGAAGGCCUUCGGGUUGUAAAGCACUUUUGUCCGGAAAGAAAUCCUUGGCUCUAAUACAGUCGGGGGAUGACGGUACCGGAAGAAUAAGCACCGGCUAACUACGUGCCAGCAGCCGCGGUAAUACGUAGGGUGCAAGCGUUAAUCGGAAUUACUGGGCGUAAAGCGUGCGCAGGCGGUUUGCUAAGACCGAUGUGAAAUCCCCGGGCUCAACCUGGGAACUGCAUUGGUGACUGGCAGGCUAGAGUAUGGCAGAGGGGGGUAGAAUUCCACGUGUAGCAGUGAAAUGCGUAGAGAUGUGGAGGAAUACCGAUGGCGAAGGCAGCCCCCUGGGCCAAUACUGACGCUCGUGCACGAAAGCGUGGGGAGCAAACAGGAUUAGAUACCCUGGUAGUCCACGCCCUAAAACGAUGUCAACUAGUUGUUGGGGGACUUCAUUUUCCUUAGUAACGUAGCUAACGCGUGAAGUUGACCGCCUGGGGA
Molecule: ribosomal RNA, 535 nt
Filed under: uncultured bacterium
Lineage: Bacteria
Description: partial 16S ribosomal RNA
Rfam family: Bacterial small subunit ribosomal RNA
Source: RNAcentral